This 212-nucleotide ribosomal RNA is filed under the name uncultured bacterium. RNAcentral describes it as "partial 16S ribosomal RNA". It matches the Rfam family "Bacterial small subunit ribosomal RNA", at positions 524 to 734 of the family's 1533-position model. The record is from RNAcentral.
UACAGAGGGUGCGAGCGUUGUCCGGAAUCACUGGGCGUAAAGGGCGCGUAGGUGGCGUCGCAAGUCGAUGGUGAAAGCUCGGCGCUCAACGCCGAGUCGGCCCUUGAUACUGCGAGGCUGGAGCACUGUAGAGGCUAAUGGAAUUCCGGGUGUAGCGGUGGAAUGCGUAGAGAUCCGGAAGAACACCGGUGGCGAAGGCGGUUAGCUGGGGC